This 3011-nucleotide ribosomal RNA is filed under the name Salinivibrio kushneri. RNAcentral describes it as "23S ribosomal RNA". It matches the Rfam family "Bacterial large subunit ribosomal RNA". Lineage: Bacteria; Pseudomonadati; Pseudomonadota; Gammaproteobacteria; Vibrionales; Vibrionaceae. The record is from RNAcentral.
GUUGUAUGGUUAAGUAAUUAAGCGUAGACGGUGGAUGCCUUGGCAGUCAGAGGCGAUGAAGGACGUACUAACCUGCGAAAAGCGAUGGUGAGCUGGUAAGAAGCAUUUGAGCCAUCGAUGUCCGAAUGGGGAAACCCACCUGCAUAAGCAGGUAUCUUAGCGUGAAUACAUAGCGCUAAGAGGCGAACUCGGGGAACUGAAACAUCUAAGUACCCGAAGGAAAAGAAAUCAAUUGAGAUUCCGGCAGUAGCGGCGAGCGACCCCGGAGCAGCCCUUAAGCGGCUUAGGCGUUAGGUGAACAGGUUGGAAAACCUGGCAAUAAAGGGUGAUAGCCCCGUAACCGACGGCGCCUUAGGCGUGAAAACGAGUAAGACGGGACACGUGAUAUCUUGUCUGAACAUGGGGGGACCAUCCUCCAAGGCUAAAUACUCCUGACUGACCGAUAGUGAACCAGUACCGUGAGGGAAAGGCGAAAAGAACCCCUGUGAGGGGAGUGAAAUAGAACCUGAAACCGUCUACGUACAAGCAGUGGGAGCCCCAUCACUAAGACACUUCAUCUUAGUGAGACGCUAUCACUUUGUUGAUUGGGUUAACCACGCGCAGCGUGGGUCAACCGCCCAAUCCAGCAGAGGUGACUUAGUGAUGGGGUGACCGCGUACCUUUUGUAUAAUGGGUCAGCGACUUAAUGUAAGUAGCCAGGUUAACCGCAUAGGGGAGCCGUAGGGAAACCGAGUCUUAACUGGGCGACAGUUGCUUGCAUUAGACCCGAAACCGAGUGAUCUAGCCAUGGGCAGGUUGAAGGUUGAGUAACAUCAACUGGAGGACCGAACUCACUAACGUUGAAAAGUUAGGAGAUGACCUGUGGCUAGGGGUGAAAGGCCAAUCAAACUCGGAGAUAGCUGGUUCUCCCCGAAAGCUAUUUAGGUAGCGCCUCGGACGAACACUACUGGGGGUAGAGCACUGUUAAGGCUAGGGGGUCAUCCCGACUUACCAACCCUUUGCAAACUCCGAAUACCAGUAAGUGCUAUCCGGGAGACACACGGCGGGUGCUAACGUCCGUCGUGGAGAGGGAAACAACCCAGACCGCCAGCUAAGGUCCCCAAGUUAUCGCUAAGUGGGAAACGAUGUGGGAAGGCUCAGACAGCCAGGAUGUUGGCUUAGAAGCAGCCAUCAUUUAAAGAAAGCGUAAUAGCUCACUGGUCGAGUCGGCCUGCGCGGAAGAUGUAACGGGGCUAAGCGAUACACCGAAGCUGCGGCAAUGUCCUUAUGGAUAUUGGGUAGGGGAGCGUUGUGUAAGCUGUUGAAGGUGUGCUGAGAGGCAUGCUGGAGGUAUCACAAGUGCGAAUGCUGACAUGAGUAACGAUAAAGGGGGUGAAAAACCUCCUCGCCGGAAGACCAAGGGUUCCUGUCCAACGUUAAUCGGGGCAGGGUAAGUCGGCCCCUAAGGCGAGGCCGAAAGGCGUAGUCGAUGGGAAACGGGUUAAUAUUCCCGUACUGCUGCUUACUGCGAUGGGGGGACGGAGAAGGCUAGGUGGGCCUGGCGAUGGUUGUCCAGGUUCAAGUGCGUAGGCUGAUUUCUUAGGCAAAUCCGGGAAAUCAAGGCCGAGACACGAUGUCGAGCCACCAAGGUGGUGAAGUCAUUGAUGCCAUGCUUCCGGGAAAAGCCUCUAAGCUUCAGGUAAGUAGGAACCGUACUCCAAACCGACACAGGUGGUCGGGUAGAGAAUACCAAGGCGCUUGAGAGAACUCGGGUGAAGGAACUAGGCAAAAUGGUACCGUAACUUCGGGAGAAGGUACGCUGCCCGCGGUGAAGUCCCUAGCGGAUGGAGCUAUGGGCAGUCGCAGAUACCAGGUGGCUGCAACUGUUUAUUAAAAACACAGCACUGUGCAAAAUCGAAAGAUGACGUAUACGGUGUGACGCCUGCCCGGUGCCGGAAGGUUAAUUGAUGUGGUUAUCGCAAGAGAAGCCAUUGAUUGAAGCCCCGGUAAACGGCGGCCGUAACUAUAACGGUCCUAAGGUAGCGAAAUUCCUUGUCGGGUAAGUUCCGACCUGCACGAAUGGCGUAAUGAUGGCCACGCUGUCUCCACCCGAGACUCAGUGAAAUUGAAAUCGCAGUGAAGAUGCUGUGUACCCGCGGCUAGACGGAAAGACCCCGUGAACCUUUACUACAGCUUGGCACUGAACAUUGAGCCUACAUGUGUAGGAUAGGUGGGAGGCUUUGAAGCGGCGACGCCAGUUGCUGUGGAGCCAUCCUUGAAAUACCACCCUUGUAUGUUUGAUGUUCUAACUUAGCCCCAUUAUCUGGGGUGAGGACAGUGCCUGGUGGGUAGUUUGACUGGGGCGGUCUCCUCCCAAAGAGUAACGGAGGAGCACGAAGGUGGGCUAAUCACGGUCGGACAUCGUGAGGUUAGUGCAAUGGCAUAAGCCCGCUUAACUGCGAGAGUGACGGCUCGAGCAGGUACGAAAGUAGGUCAUAGUGAUCCGGUGGUUCUGAAUGGAAGGGCCAUCGCUCAACGGAUAAAAGGUACUCCGGGGAUAACAGGCUGAUACCGCCCAAGAGUUCAUAUCGACGGCGGUGUUUGGCACCUCGAUGUCGGCUCAUCACAUCCUGGGGCUGAAGUCGGUCCCAAGGGUAUGGCUGUUCGCCAUUUAAAGUGGUACGCGAGCUGGGUUUAGAACGUCGUGAGACAGUUCGGUCCCUAUCUGCCGUGGGCGUUGGAUGAUUGAGGGGAGCUGCUCCUAGUACGAGAGGACCGGAGUGGACGAACCGCUGGUGUUCGGGUUGUGUCGCCAGACGCAUUGCCCGGUAGCUAAGUUCGGCACAGAUAAGCGCUGAAAGCAUCUAAGCGCGAAGCUGGCCCCGAGAUGAGUCAUCCCUAGAGCCUCGAGCUCUCUAAAGGGUUGUUCUAGACGAGAACGUUGAUAGGCAGGGUGUGUAAGCGCUGUGAGGCGUUGAGCUAACCUGUACUAAUGGCCCGUGCGGCUUAACCAUACAACACCCAAGGGGUUU